UGUGAAAAACCACACAGUUUGCCAUUGUUAGCUGCUAACUAACCUGCGGUACAAACAUAAAUAACGUCUAUCAACAAAGUCCUGUCUCCAACGCGAAUUAAACACUAUAUGGGUGUUGUUCCCCAGCCUGAAGUUGAAGACGCUGUCCCAUCCACUGACCUCCACUAUGUCGCUUUUGGCCCCAGCCUGCUCUGUGAUGUCAUCCUCUGGGCUCUUGGCUGCACCAGUCUGGGAAUCCAAUAUGGCCACCGUGUCUCCUCUUUUAGCUUCCAGCAAACCACCUACAGGCAAAUGUUACAAUCCAGACUUAACAAACAUGACAACAGAACAAAAAUCAUAUACAUGGAUUUUGUGUGUGUUAUUUGCCUGGUGAUAUGAUAUGACUGUCAUGUUGAUAUACAUAGUAUUGUUUGUUUUUGAAUUUCAUACUAAUUGUAUUGAUAUUGUUUUAGAAAUAAAGUACUCAUAAGGUUU
Oncorhynchus kisutch (coho salmon) is the source of this 474-nucleotide long non-coding RNA. RefSeq lists it as uncharacterized. The transcript has 2 exons. The record is from RefSeq and is a predicted model, not a curated record. Lineage: Eukaryota; Metazoa; Chordata; Actinopteri; Salmoniformes; Salmonidae.